Molecule: microRNA, 22 nt
Filed under: Columba livia (rock pigeon)
Lineage: Eukaryota; Metazoa; Chordata; Aves; Columbiformes; Columbidae
Description: cli-miR-1791-3p
Source: miRBase by way of RNAcentral
CGAUGUGACUGAUGCAGGCUGA